Pelobates cultripes (western spadefoot toad) is the source of this 243-nucleotide non-coding RNA. Lineage: Eukaryota; Metazoa; Chordata; Amphibia; Anura; Pelobatidae. The record is from the annotation of a GenBank genome assembly.
CACAUAUCACUGCCUAAAGAAAGUAGCAACAAGAGAACUGGAUCGGCCUUAACAAGACAAAAACAGAGAAAUGGAAUCUGCUCAUAUCAAAUCCGAUACUAUCCAACAAACAUUAAGGCCGCCAUUUUGAUUUAUUCCUGUUGGCUUUAGUGAACCUUUCCUAAGCGGUAACUAGAAUGCUUUCUGCAUUAAACCUCUUCUAGAGAGGUAAUGAACGUCUUUUUACAUCCCACAUAGAAUGAU